Molecule: small nuclear RNA, 105 nt
Organism: Astatotilapia calliptera (eastern happy)
Lineage: Eukaryota; Metazoa; Chordata; Actinopteri; Cichliformes; Cichlidae
Source: Ensembl
GACAUUUCUUUGAUGGCAUGCGCUAAACUGGAUAUGAUACAGGGAAGAUUAGCAUGGUCUCUGCGCAAGGAUGACACGUAAAUUCGUGAAGCGUUCCACAUUUUU